ACUAUUUUGGCAGAUAAGUGUAUUAAAUUUAGAAUUUAAUUAUAUAGAAUAAAAUUCUAUAAAUAGUA
This 68-nucleotide transfer RNA is filed under the name Phaenopsectra flavipes. RNAcentral describes it as "tRNA-Leu". It matches the Rfam family "tRNA". Rfam says of the family: Transfer RNA (tRNA) molecules are approximately 80 nucleotides in length. Their secondary structure includes four short double-helical elements and three loops (D, anti-codon, and T loops). Further hydrogen bonds mediate the characteristic L-shaped molecular structure. tRNAs have two regions of fundamental functional importance: the anti-codon, which is responsible for specific mRNA codon recognition, and the 3' end, to which the tRNAs corresponding amino acid is attached (by aminoacyl-tRNA synthetases). tRNAs cope with the degeneracy of the genetic code in two manners: having more than one tRNA (with a specific anti-codon) for a particular amino acid; and 'wobble' base-pairing, i.e. permitting non-standard base-pairing at the 3rd anti-codon position. Lineage: Eukaryota; Metazoa; Arthropoda; Insecta; Diptera; Chironomidae. The record is from RNAcentral.